Molecule: ribosomal RNA, 555 nt
Filed under: uncultured bacterium
Lineage: Bacteria
Description: bacterial SSU rRNA
Rfam family: Bacterial small subunit ribosomal RNA
Source: RNAcentral
CCAGACUCCUACGGGAGGCAGCAGUGAGGAAUAUUGGUCAAUGGGUGAGAGCCUGAACCAGCCAAGUCGCGUGAAGGACGACGGUUCUAUGGAUUGUAAACUUCUUUUGUAGAGGAAUAAUGGCAGCUACGUGUAGCUGAGAUGCAUGUACUCUACGAAUAAGUAUCGGCUAACUCCGUGCCAGCAGCCGCGGUAAUACGGAGGAUACGAGCGUUAUCCGGAAUUAUUGGGUUUAAAGGGUGCGUAGGUGGCGUAUUAAGUCAGUGGUGAAAAGCUGCAGCUCAACUGUAGUCUUGCCGUUGAAACUGAUAUGCUAGAGAGGAGACGAGGUAUGCGGAAUGUGUGGUGUAGCGGUGAAGUGCAUAGAUAUCACACAGAACGCCGAUUGCGAAGGCAGCGUACCAGGCUCCGUCUGACACUGAAGCACGAAAGCGUGGGGAUCAAACAGGAUUAGAUACCCUGGUAGUCCACGCAGUAAACGAUGAAUACUAGAUUUUUGCGAUAUAGUGUAAGAGUCUAAGCGAAAGCGAUAAGUAUUCCACCUGGGGAGUACGC